RNAcentral lists this ribosomal RNA (225 nucleotides) under uncultured Streptococcus sp. RNAcentral describes it as "partial 16S ribosomal RNA". It matches the Rfam family "Bacterial small subunit ribosomal RNA", at positions 114 to 334 of the family's 1533-position model. The record is from RNAcentral. Lineage: Bacteria; Bacillati; Bacillota; Bacilli; Lactobacillales; Streptococcaceae. RNAcentral also lists the same sequence under 1 other name.
CGCGUAGGUAACCUGCCUUGUAGCGGGGGAUAACUAUUGGAAACGAUAGCUAAUACCGCAUAACAAUGGAUGACACAUGUCAUUUAUUUGAAAGGGGCAAUUGCUCCACUACAAGAUGGACCUGCGUUGUAUUAGCUAGUAGGUGAGGUAAUGGCUCACCUAGGCGACGAUACAUAGCCGACCUGAGAGGGUGAUCGGCCACACUGGGACUGAGACACGGCCCAG